Molecule: ribosomal RNA, 497 nt
Filed under: uncultured bacterium
Lineage: Bacteria
Description: partial 16S ribosomal RNA
Rfam family: Bacterial small subunit ribosomal RNA
Source: RNAcentral
GAUGAACGCUGGCGGCGUGCCUAAUACAUGCCAGUCGAGCGAACAGAUGAGGAGCUUGCUCCUCUGACGUUAGCGGCGGACGGGUGAGUAACACGUGGAUAACCUACCUAUAAGACUGGGAUAACUUCGGGAAACCGGAGCUAAUACCGGAUAAUAUAUUGAACCGCAUGGUUCAAUAGUGAAAGACGGUUUUGCUGUCACUUAUAGAUGGAUCCGCGCCGCAUUAGCUAGUUGGUAAGGUAACGGCUUACCAAGGCAACGAUGCGUAGCCGACCUGAGAGGGUGAUCAGCCACACUGGAACUGAGACGCGGUCCAGACUCCUACGGGAGGCAGCAGUAGGGAAUCUUCCGCAAUGGGCGAAAGCCUGACGGAGCAACGCCGCGUGAGUGAUGAAGGUCUUCGGAUCGUAAAACUCUGUUAUUAGGGAAGAACAAAAGUGUGAGUAAAUAUGCACGUCUUGACGGUACCUAAACAAAAAGCCCCGGCUAACUUCGUG